UACGAAGGGGGCUAGCGUUGUUCGGAAUUACUGGGCGUAAAGGGCGCGUAGGCGGUCCCUCAAGUCAGGCGUGAAAGCCCCGGGCUCAACCUGGGAACCGCGCUUGAGACUGGUGGGCUAGAGUUCGGGAGAGGAUGGUGGAAUUCCCAGUGUAGAGGUGAAAUUCGUAGAUAUUGGGAAGAACACCGAUGGCGAAGGCGGCGUUCUGGACUGUUACUGACACUGAGGAACGAAAGCCAGGGGAGCAAACGGG
Molecule: ribosomal RNA, 253 nt
Filed under: uncultured bacterium
Lineage: Bacteria
Description: partial 16S ribosomal RNA
Rfam family: Bacterial small subunit ribosomal RNA
Source: RNAcentral